GGGGUUGUGGCUCAGUGGUAGAGUGCUUGCCUCACACGCAUGAGGCCCUGGGUUCAAUCCUCAGCACCACA
RNAcentral lists this transfer RNA (71 nucleotides) under Marmota monax (woodchuck). RNAcentral describes it as "tRNA.Val". It matches the Rfam family "tRNA". From Rfam's summary of the family: Transfer RNA (tRNA) molecules are approximately 80 nucleotides in length. Their secondary structure includes four short double-helical elements and three loops (D, anti-codon, and T loops). Further hydrogen bonds mediate the characteristic L-shaped molecular structure. tRNAs have two regions of fundamental functional importance: the anti-codon, which is responsible for specific mRNA codon recognition, and the 3' end, to which the tRNAs corresponding amino acid is attached (by aminoacyl-tRNA synthetases). tRNAs cope with the degeneracy of the genetic code in two manners: having more than one tRNA (with a specific anti-codon) for a particular amino acid; and 'wobble' base-pairing, i.e. permitting non-standard base-pairing at the 3rd anti-codon position. Lineage: Eukaryota; Metazoa; Chordata; Mammalia; Rodentia; Sciuridae. The record is from RNAcentral.